CCAAACUUGGUCAUUUAGAGGAAGUAAAAGUCGUAACAAGGUUUCCGUAGGUGAACCUGCGGAAGGAUCAUUAAUAAAUGUUUGAUGAUAUUAUGAAACUCUUUAUAAUAUCAAUCACAUCUGUUUUUGUGGUAACAUUGAAUUAAAAGUUUUUCUGCAAAGAAAGGCGAAAAGGGGUAAAUGUAAAAAGAUUUGAAGAUUUGUGAUAAAAAGCAAAGAUUCAGGCUUUUUCAACCCCUAAACUUUAACAAAAAACUCUUAUUAAUUUGACUGAAUUAAAAAUAUUAUCAAAUUUUUUUAUUUGAUUAAAAUUUUUAAAUAACUUUCAACAACGGAUCUCUUGGUUCUCGCAUCGAUGAAGAACGCAGC
Molecule: unclassified non-coding RNA, 369 nt
Filed under: uncultured fungus
Lineage: Eukaryota; Fungi
Description: partial contains small subunit ribosomal RNA, internal transcribed spacer 1, and 5.8S ribosomal RNA
Rfam family: Eukaryotic small subunit ribosomal RNA (bases 1-73)
Source: RNAcentral